RNAcentral lists this ribosomal RNA (229 nucleotides) under uncultured bacterium. RNAcentral describes it as "partial 16S ribosomal RNA". It matches the Rfam family "Bacterial small subunit ribosomal RNA", at positions 568 to 796 of the family's 1533-position model. The record is from RNAcentral.
CGUGCAGGCGGUUUGGUAAGUUGGAUGUGAAAGCUCCUGGCUUAACUGGGAGAGGUCGUUCAAUACUGCCAAACUAGAGGACGGUAGAGGAAGGUAGAAUUCCUGGUGUAGUGGUGAAAUGCGUAGAUAUCAGGAGGAAUACCAGAGGCGAAGGCGGCCUUCUGGGCCGUUCCUGACGCUAAGACGCGAAAGCAUGGGUAGCAAACAGGAUUAGAUACCCUGGUAGUCC